Molecule: non-coding RNA, 30 nt
Filed under: Mus musculus (house mouse)
Lineage: Eukaryota; Metazoa; Chordata; Mammalia; Rodentia; Muridae
Source: RNAcentral
GCUCAACAUGACUCACCUGCAAUGCUGCCU